ACUGAACGCUGGCGGCAGGCUUAACACAUGCAAGUCGAGCGGGGGAAGGUAGCUUGCUACCGGACCUAGCGGCGGACGGGUGAGUAAUGCUUAGGAAUCUGCCUAUUAGUGGGGGACAACAUCUCGAAAGGGAUGCUAAUACCGCAUACGUCCUACGGGAGAAAGCAGGGGAUCUUCGGACCUUGCGCUAAUAGAUGAGCCUAAGUCGGAUUAGCUAGUUGGUGGGGUAAAGGCCUACCAAGGCGACGAACUGUAGCGGGUCUGAAAGGAUGCGCCGCCAGACUGGGACGAGGACACGGCCCAGACUCCUACGGGAGGCAGCGGUGGGGAAUAUUGGACAAUGGGGGGAACCCUGAUCCAGCCAUGCCGCGUGUGUGAAGAAGGCAUUAUGGUUGUAAAGCUCUUUAAGCGAGGAGGAUGCUACUUUAGUCACUACCUGGAGAUAGUGGACGUUACUCGCAGAAUAAGCACCGGCUAACUCUGUGCCAGCCGCCGCCGUAA
Molecule: ribosomal RNA, 501 nt
Filed under: uncultured bacterium
Lineage: Bacteria
Description: partial 16S ribosomal RNA
Rfam family: Bacterial small subunit ribosomal RNA
Source: RNAcentral